Molecule: non-coding RNA, 115 nt
Organism: Acanthosepion pharaonis
Lineage: Eukaryota; Metazoa; Mollusca; Cephalopoda; Sepiida; Sepiidae
Source: the annotation of a GenBank genome assembly
UUACGGCCAUAUCACGUUCAAGCACCAGUUCCCGUACGAUCACCGAAGUUAAGUAACGUCGAGACUGGUUAGUACCUAGAUGGGUGACUGCUUUCAGAAUACCAGAUGCCGUAAG